CCCGGAAGCGUGUAUAUUGACAGCUUGCACAUUUUCUGAAUGCCAUCAAUCAUGCGAUGGUGUUUCCCGGCCACACCACAAACCGUGAAAUAGAGAAAAGACUGUUAAAAACACGCUCUCUGUUAAAAUAAACAUUACUGAUUACUACAAGAGACAUUGGGAAUGAAGGUUAGUUUUUACUUUUAUCUUUCCUUUAUUAACCCGCAAAUUUAAUAAUUGAGACUAUUUUAAAAAAAUGAUAGUUUGCCUCGUCUAUGGCAAUAUUUAUAGUAUUUGAAAUAUGUAUUUAUAAGAUUGUUUCUCUUACAGUUAUAAUACAAUAUAUUGACUGUUAUAUUUGUAUAUGCGUGGGGAGGCGAUACGGUCACUGAUUUAUGUAUUAGAAACAUCUUGCUAAAAUAACAUGCCUCACUCAGACGACCUUUUGGCUGGGAACGCGACAAAAUUCAACUUCAUGUGGCUUGUGAAUCUUGCAACACUGUAACGUCUGUAAGAUUUGUUUAUUAUUCACUGAUAACAGGGUUACUUGAGACACUGAAGGACCAAGUACCUGGUGUUUCUGAUUUAAUAGAACUACUUGUAUAUAAUGUAAACUACUUGUAUACUAAUAUUUUGGUAUCUCAUGACCAGGUAAUAUUUUGAAAAUAUUGCCUCAUGCAUAUCAAGUAUUGCGUAUCAUAUUUCAAAGCCCAUUUUGUAUAAAAAUCUCUACGGUAUCACGAAUUAAAGUCACUAAUAUUCAUGUGCUAGUAACUUAGUGAAUUGUUCAAUGUAACUCAGUAUUUUCAACGGGUAAAGAAGUUGCUGAGUAAUGUUUUUUGAAGGGAAAUACCAAAUUUUUUUGUUAACAUUUCUUGACGUUUGAAUAGUUAAAUUAUUUGCAUAAUUCGCUGCGGGGAUUUCCCUCAGAUCGGCAACCUUCACAGUAUUUGUCAUUUCUGUUGAUAAAAUAGUAUCAAAUGUUUCUUCCUACUUUCGUUCUCUUAUAUUUAGAUGAAGAAAUGGAAUUCGAAGAGGUUCUUCACACUUUUGUGUUCAGUUUUAUAUUUUAUGCCAUGUAUGUAUGAAAACUUUUAGCUUUAAUUUUCUCAUAC
Molecule: non-coding RNA, 1094 nt
Organism: Paramuricea clavata
Lineage: Eukaryota; Metazoa; Cnidaria; Anthozoa; Malacalcyonacea; Plexauridae
Source: the annotation of a GenBank genome assembly